This 1016-nucleotide ribosomal RNA is filed under the name uncultured bacterium. RNAcentral's name for it is "bacterial SSU rRNA". It matches the Rfam family "Bacterial small subunit ribosomal RNA", at positions 357 to 1376 of the family's 1533-position model. The record is from RNAcentral.
AGGAAUAUUGGUCAAUGGGCGCGAGCCUGAACCAGCCAAGUAGCGUGAAGGAUGAAGGUCCUAUGGAUUGUAAACUUCUUUUAUACGGGAAUAAAGUGGUCCACGUGUGGGCUUUUGCAUGUACCGUAUGAAUAAGCAUCGGCUAACUCCGUGCCAGCAGCCGCGGUAAUACGGAGGAUGCGAGCGUUAUCCGGAUUUAUUGGGUUUAAAGGGAGCGCAGACGGGGGAUUAAGUCAGUUGUGAAAGUUUGCGGCUCAACCGUAAAAUUGCAGUUGAUACUGGUUCCCUUGAGUGCAGUUGAGGCAGGCGGAAUUCGUGGUGUAGCGGUGAAAUGCAUAGAUAUCACGAAGAACUCCGAUUGCGAAGGCAGCCUGCUAAGCUGCAACUGACAUUGAGGCUCGAAAGUGUGGGUAUCAAACAGGAUUAGAUACCCUGGUAGUCCACACGGUAAACGAUGAAUACUCGCUGUUUGCGAUAUACUGCAAGCGGCCAAGCGAAAGCGUUAAGUAUUCCACCUGGGGAGUACGCCGGCAACGGUGAAACUCAAAGGAAUUGACGGGGGCCCGCACAAGCGGAGGAACAUGUGGUUUAAUUCGAUGAUACGCGAGGAACCUUACCCGGGCUUAAAUUGCAGAUGAAUUACGGUGAAAGCCGUAAGCCGCAAGGCAUCUGUGAAGGUGCUGCAUGGUUGUCGUCAGCUCGUGCCGUGAGGUGUCGGCUUAAGUGCCAUAACGAGCGCAACCCUUGUUGUCAGUUACUAACAGGUUCCGCUGAGGACUCUGACAAGACUGCCAUCGUAAGAUGUGAGGAAGGUGGGGAUGACGUCAAAUCAGCACGGCCCUUACGUCCGGGGCUACACACGUGUUACAAUGGGGGGUACAGAGGGCCGCUACCACGCGAGUGGAUGCCAAUCCCCAAAACCUCUCUCAGUUCGGACUGGAGUCUGCAACCCGACUCCACGAAGCUGGAUUCGCUAGUAAUCGCGCAUCAGCCACGGCGCGGUGAAUACGUUCCCG